Molecule: ribosomal RNA, 497 nt
Filed under: uncultured bacterium
Lineage: Bacteria
Description: partial 16S ribosomal RNA
Rfam family: Bacterial small subunit ribosomal RNA
Source: RNAcentral
GAUGAACGCUGGCGGCGUGCCUAAUACAUGCAAGUCGAACGCAUAGCGAAAGGUGCUUGCCCCUUUCAAGUGAGUGGCGAACGGGUGAGUAACACGUGGACAACCUGCCUCAAGGCUGGGGAUAACAUUUGGAAACAGAUGCUAAUACCGAAUAAAACUUAGUGUCGCAUGACACAAAGUUAAAAGGCGCUUCGGCGUCACCUAGAGAUGGAUCCGCGGUGCAUUAGUUAGUUGGUGGGGUAAAGGCCUACCAAGACAAUGAUGCAUAGCCGAGUUGAGAGACUGAUCGGCCACAUUGGGACUGAGACACGGCCCAAACUCCUACGGGAGGCUGCAGUAGGGAAUCUUCCACAAUGGGCGAAAGCCUGAUGGAGCAACGCCGCGUGUGUGAUGAAGGCUUUCGGGUCGUAAAGCACUGUUGUAUGGGAAGAACAGCUAGAAUAGGAAAUGAUUUUAGUUUGACGGUACCAUACCAGAAGGGGACGGCUAAAUACGUG